GCCUGUGUGGCUCAGUCAGUUGAGUGUCCGACUUCGGCUCAGGUCAUGAUCUUGCGGUUUGUGAGUUCGAGCCCCGCCUCGGGCU
This 85-nucleotide transfer RNA is filed under the name Felis catus (domestic cat). It matches the Rfam family "tRNA". From Rfam's summary of the family: Transfer RNA (tRNA) molecules are approximately 80 nucleotides in length. Their secondary structure includes four short double-helical elements and three loops (D, anti-codon, and T loops). Further hydrogen bonds mediate the characteristic L-shaped molecular structure. tRNAs have two regions of fundamental functional importance: the anti-codon, which is responsible for specific mRNA codon recognition, and the 3' end, to which the tRNAs corresponding amino acid is attached (by aminoacyl-tRNA synthetases). tRNAs cope with the degeneracy of the genetic code in two manners: having more than one tRNA (with a specific anti-codon) for a particular amino acid; and 'wobble' base-pairing, i.e. permitting non-standard base-pairing at the 3rd anti-codon position. The record is from Rfam by way of RNAcentral. Lineage: Eukaryota; Metazoa; Chordata; Mammalia; Carnivora; Felidae.